This 163-nucleotide ribosomal RNA is filed under the name uncultured bacterium. Its description in RNAcentral is "partial 16S ribosomal RNA". The record is from RNAcentral.
GCACGUAGUUAGCCGGCUGCUUCUUCUUACGGAAACCGUCAUCUACCCAGAGUAUUAGCCCAGGCAAUUUCGUUCCGUCCGAAAGAGCUUUACAACCCGAAGGCCUUCUUCACUCACGCGGCAUGGCUGGAUCAGGGUUGCCCCCAUUGUCCAAAAUUCCCCA